AUUGAACGCUGGCGGCAUGCCUUACACAUGCAAGUCGAACGGUAACGGGCCUUCGGGUGCCGACGAGUGGCGAACGGGUGAGUAAUACAUCGGAACGUGCCCGAUCGUGGGGGAUAACGAGGCGAAAGCUUUGCUAAUACCGCAUACGAUCUACGGAUGAAAGCAGGGGACCGCAAGGCCUUGCGCGGACGGAGCGGCCGAUGGCAGAUUAGGUAGUUGGUGGGAUAAAAGCUUACCAAGCCGACGAUCUGUAGCUGGUCUGAGAGGAUGAACAGCCACACUGGGACUGAGACACGGCCCAGACUCCUACGGGAGGCAGCAGUGGGGAAUUUUGGACAAUGGGCGCAAGCCUGAUCCAGCCAUGCCGCGUGCAGGAUGAAGGCCUUCGGGUUGUAAACUGCUUUUGUACGGAACGAAAAGCCUUCUUUUAUUACAGGAGGGUCAUGACGGUACCGUAAGAAUAAGCACCGGCUAACUACGUG
This 482-nucleotide ribosomal RNA is filed under the name uncultured bacterium. Its description in RNAcentral is "partial 16S ribosomal RNA". It matches the Rfam family "Bacterial small subunit ribosomal RNA", at positions 30 to 507 of the family's 1533-position model. The record is from RNAcentral.